Molecule: ribosomal RNA, 301 nt
Filed under: uncultured bacterium
Lineage: Bacteria
Description: partial 16S ribosomal RNA
Rfam family: Bacterial small subunit ribosomal RNA
Source: RNAcentral
CAGUAGCCGCGGUAAUACGUAGGGUGCAAGCGUUUAUCGGAAUUACUGGGCGUAAAGCGUGCCCAGGCGGUUAUAUAAGACAGAUGUGAAAUCCCCGGGCUCAACCUGGGAACUGCAUUUGUGACUGUAUAGCUAGAGUACGGCAGAGGGGGAUGGAAUUCCGCGUGUAGCAGUGAAAUGCGUAGAUAUGCGGAGGAACACCGAUGGCGAAGGCAAUCCCCUGGGCCUGUACUGACGCUCAUGCACGAAAGCGUGGGGAGCAAACAGGAUUAGAUACCCGUGUAGUCCCUGUCUCUUAUAC